AGAGUUUGAUCAUGGCUCAGAGUGAACGCUGGCGGCGUGGAUAAGGCAUGCAAGUCGAGCGAUAUCCGCAAGGAUAUAGCGGCAAACGGGUGAGUAACAGGUAGAUAACCUACCCUAAAGCGCGGGAUAGUCCGGCGAAGGUCGGAGUAAUACCGCAUGUGACCAUGGUGGCGCAUGCCACUAUGAGGAAAGAUGGCCUAGACCGCAAGGUUGCUAUCACUUUAGGAGGGAUCUGCCCCCCAUCAGCUAGUUGGUAGGGUAACGGCCUACCAAGGCUAUUACGGGUAGCUAGCCUUAGAGGGCGGUUAGCCACACUGGGACUGAGACACUGCCCAGACUCCUACGGGAGGCUGCAGUCGAGAAUCUUUGGCAAUGGACGCAAGUCUGACCAUGCGACGCCGCGUGCGGGAUGAAGGCCUUCGGGUCGUAAACCGCUGUUAAGGGGAAAGAAAGCCUAUCUCGUGAACAACGAAGUAGGUAUGACGGUACCCCUAAAGAAG
RNAcentral lists this ribosomal RNA (500 nucleotides) under uncultured Pirellula sp. RNAcentral's name for it is "bacterial SSU rRNA". It matches the Rfam family "Bacterial small subunit ribosomal RNA", at positions 8 to 489 of the family's 1533-position model. Lineage: Bacteria; Pseudomonadati; Planctomycetota; Planctomycetia; Pirellulales; Pirellulaceae. The record is from RNAcentral.